AGAUUACACACCCUGGAGAUCUGUGCUACUGCAGCUGGACUCUUUCUGGUGAGCAGGAUAAGCAGAUUAGAAGUGAGGAAGUGAAGGGUGUCAUAGAGAAAGCUGCUUAUUGAUAAUGUGACCUGCUCUUCUCAGUUUACAUCUGUGCUGUGGAAUUAGCUGGACAUUUGAGAGGGUUGAAACAAGUUGCUGUUGCAAUUAAGGAAGAGCUCCUUCAGCUGUCCCUUCAGAUUGUCAGACUUAGGAGGAUUAAUGGACACUGGACUUCAAGAGGACAGAGGCACCCAGACCUUUACUGAUAAACUCCAAUUCUGUGUAUUUCCAAUGGGGAAUCUCUAAGCAGCUAUUCACCAGUGAGCUGAUACUCUGCAACACAAUUCAGAGACACCCAACUCCACAAAUGGACUAAACAGAGGAAGCCUUGGCCCUUAACCUCCCCAGUAUUUCAUUCUGUGCCUACCUCAGAAGCCCUUUGGCCAUGUUGCACAGGAUGACUCAGCAGGAGCAACAUCUCACAGUCAGUGGACAGAAGCCAGGUAUAAGCUGUGGCCACGGACUUGCCUACAGGCAAGGAGGCAGUAGUUCUUCUGUUUUUCCAAGGCACUGGACCAGAACCUGUGCUGUGAUUUGCCAGCAUUAUUCCAGUCUCAGACAGGGGAAACAUCCAGAACAUUUUUUGUUCUCUGGUAACCUCAAUGUCUGCACUACACUUGUGAUUAAGUCUCCUCAAAGGCUUACAAAAGGUUGGGUGCUGCUGACAUGUCAAUCACCUGGACACUUCUCUGCUUAUCAUUUUCUUUUCAAGAAAGAACGGGCUACUUCCAUUGGCCAGAUCAGUUGAAAAUUCUGACCCUAGAAUUUAGAGCAGAGAGUGUAUAAAUGCAGAAUAAUACAGAGUGGACAGCAAGAUUACAGCCUCAGAUUAUCAAUGAAUAUUUAAAUACACAACAGCUUUUCAGCAAUGAUUCAAAUGUGUUUCAAUAGAAUGACUUCAAAUUGGCUUGCCAUCUGUUAGGAUGAGAAAAAUCAAAUGGA
This 1035-nucleotide long non-coding RNA is filed under the name Cyanistes caeruleus (blue tit). RNAcentral describes it as "lncRNA (ENSCCEG00000004927.1)". The record is from RNAcentral. Lineage: Eukaryota; Metazoa; Chordata; Aves; Passeriformes; Paridae.